RNAcentral lists this ribosomal RNA (253 nucleotides) under uncultured bacterium. RNAcentral describes it as "partial 16S ribosomal RNA". It matches the Rfam family "Bacterial small subunit ribosomal RNA", at positions 524 to 776 of the family's 1533-position model. The record is from RNAcentral.
GACGAACCGUGCGAACGUUAUUCGGAAUCACUGGGCUUAAAGGGCGCGUAGGCGGGCUGUUAAGUCCGGGGUGAAAUCCUCCCGCUCAACGGGAGAACUGCCUCGGAUACUGAUGGUCUCGAGGACGGUAGGGGUAAGCGGAACUGUGAGUGGAGCGGUGAAAUGCGUUGAUAUUCACGGGAACUCCGGUGGCGAAGGCGGCUUACUGGACCGUAUCUGACGCUGAGGCGCGAAAGCUAGGGGAGCGAAGAGG